Molecule: small RNA, 131 nt
Filed under: Klebsiella michiganensis
Lineage: Bacteria; Pseudomonadati; Pseudomonadota; Gammaproteobacteria; Enterobacterales; Enterobacteriaceae
Also listed under: 3 other names
Description: RtT sRNA
Rfam family: RtT RNA
About the family: This family represents a bacterial cis-regulatory element known as RtT RNA. The exact function of RtT is unknown although it is thought that it may be involved in changing the cellular response in relation to amino acid starvation.
Source: RNAcentral
AUUCUUCCGAUGCAGGGAAGGAUGAGAAGCUUCGACUAAGGUUCGAUUCGAGCGGAGCGAGAAAGCGUUGCCGCAGGCAACGACCCGAAGGGCGAGGCGCAACGCGCCGAAUAAUCCUUCCCCCACCACCA